AUUGAACGCUGGCGGCAGGCCUAACACAUGCAAGUCGAGCGGUAGAGAGGUGCUUGCAUCUCUUGAGAGCGGCGGACGGGUGAGUAAUGCCUAGGAAUCUGCCUAGUGGUGGGGGAUAACGUUCGGAAACGGACGCUAAUACCGCAUACGUCCUACGGGAGAAAGCGGGGGAUCUUCGGACCUCGCGCCAUUAGAUGAGCCUAGGUCGGAUUAGCUAGUUGGUGAGGUAAUGGCUCACCAAGGCGACGAUCCGUAACUGGUCUGAGAGGAUGAUCAGUCACACUGGAACUGAGACACGGUCCAGACUCCUACGGGAGGCAGCAGUGGGGGAAUAUUGGACAAUGGGCGAAAGCCUGAUCCAGCCAUGCCGCGUGUGUGAAGAAGGUCUUCGGAUUGUAAGCACUUUAAGUUGGGAGGAAGGGUAGUAACCUAAUACGUUGCUACUUUGACGUUACCGACAG
RNAcentral lists this ribosomal RNA (461 nucleotides) under uncultured bacterium. RNAcentral's name for it is "bacterial SSU rRNA". It matches the Rfam family "Bacterial small subunit ribosomal RNA", at positions 30 to 484 of the family's 1533-position model. The record is from RNAcentral.